Molecule: ribosomal RNA, 803 nt
Filed under: Septoria sp.
Lineage: Eukaryota; Fungi; Ascomycota; Dothideomycetes; Mycosphaerellales; Mycosphaerellaceae
Description: partial large subunit ribosomal RNA
Rfam family: Eukaryotic large subunit ribosomal RNA
Source: RNAcentral
GCCCUAGUAACGGCGAGUGAAGCGGCAACAGCUCAAAUUUGAAAUCUGGCGUAAGCCCGAGUUGUAAUUUGUAGAGGAUGCUUCUGGGUAGCGACCGAUCUAAGUUCCUUGGAACAGGACGUCAUAGAGGGUGAGAAUCCCGUAUGUGACCGGCCCGCACCCUUUACGUAGCUCCUUCGACGAGUCGAGUUGUUUGGGAAUGCAGCUCUAAAUGGGAGGUAAAUUUCUUCUAAAGCUAAAUACCGGCCAGAGACCGAUAGCGCACAAGUAGAGUGAUCGAAAGAUGAAAAGUACUUUGGAAAGAGAGUUAAAAAGCACGUGAAAUUGUUGAAAGGGAAGCGCCUGCAACCAGACUUCGUGGCAGUGUUCCGCCGGUCUUCUGACCGGUUUAUUCUCUGUCGCGAGGCCAUCAUCGUCUAGGCCCGCCGGAUAAGACCUUAGGAAUGUAGCUCACCUUCGGGGGAGUGUUAUAGCUUAUGGUGAUGCGGCGAGGCUUGGGCGAGGUCCGCGCUUCGGCAAGGAUGAUGGCGUAAUGGUUGUCGGCGGCCCGUCUUGAAACACGGACCAAGGAGUCUAACAUCUAUGCGAGUGUUCGGGUGUCAAACCCCUACGCGUAAUGAAAGUGAACGGAGGUGGGAACCGCAAGGUGCACCAUCGACCGAUCCUGAUGUCCUCGGAUGGAUUUGAGUAAGAGCAUAGCUGUUGGGACCCGAAAGAUGGUGAACUAUGCCUGAAUAGGGUGAAGCCAGAGGAAACUCUGGUGGAGGCUCGCAGCGGUUCUGACGUGCAAAUCGAUCGUCAAA